UAGGCAUAGUAGGUGGUUGCUUUUGCAGACGCAAAAGAGGAAAGUCCGAGCUACUUAAGACAGGAUUCCAUUUAACAAAUGGCUAGGGUAACCUAAGGGAAAGUGCAACAGAAAAUAACCGCUUUUGUUUAUGAUAAAUAAAAGUAAGGGUGAAAAGGUGGGGUAAGAGCUUACCGAUUUUGCAGUAAUGCUAAAUGUCCAUGCAAACCCAAUCCGUAGCAAGAAGAGUAUGGUUAAAGUCUUAAAUAUGAACUCUUCGCUUGAGGUAUGUUGCAAAACAUAUCCUAGAUAAAUAGCCACCCACGACAGAACUCGGCUUAUCGCUAUGCCUCCCCC
RNAcentral lists this RNase P RNA (336 nucleotides) under Helicobacter marmotae. Its description in RNAcentral is "RNase P RNA component class A". It matches the Rfam family "Bacterial RNase P class A". From Rfam's summary of the family: Ribonuclease P (RNase P) is a ubiquitous endoribonuclease, found in archaea, bacteria and eukarya as well as chloroplasts and mitochondria. Its best characterised activity is the generation of mature 5'-ends of tRNAs by cleaving the 5'-leader elements of precursor-tRNAs. Cellular RNase Ps are ribonucleoproteins. The record is from RNAcentral. Lineage: Bacteria; Pseudomonadati; Campylobacterota; Epsilonproteobacteria; Campylobacterales; Helicobacteraceae.